RNAcentral lists this ribosomal RNA (427 nucleotides) under uncultured Acidobacterium sp. RNAcentral's name for it is "bacterial SSU rRNA". It matches the Rfam family "Bacterial small subunit ribosomal RNA", at positions 958 to 1385 of the family's 1533-position model. The record is from RNAcentral. Lineage: Bacteria; Pseudomonadati; Acidobacteriota; Terriglobia; Terriglobales; Acidobacteriaceae.
AACGCGAAGAACCUUACCUGGGCUCGAAAUGGAGUGGACCGGAGCAGAAACGUUCCUUCCCCGCAAGGGGCCGCUUUAUAGGUGCUGCAUGGCUGUCGUCAGCUCGUGUCGUGAGAUGUUGGGUUAAGUCCCGCAACGAGCGCAACCCUUGUUACCAGUUGCCAUCAUUCAGUUGGGCACUCUGGUGAGACCGCCUCGGAUAACGGGGAGGAAGGCGGGGAUGACGUCAAGUCCUCAUGGCCUUUAUGUCCAGGGCUACACACGUGCUACAAUGGCCGGUACAAACCGUCGCAAACCCGCGAGGGGGAGCUAAUCGGAAAAAGCCGGCCUCAGUUCGGAUUGCAGUCUGCAACUCGACUGCAUGAAGCUGGAAUCGCUAGUAAUCGCGGAUCAGAACGCCGCGGUGAAUACGUUCCCGGGCCUUGUA